RNAcentral lists this long non-coding RNA (658 nucleotides) under Nicotiana benthamiana. RNAcentral's name for it is "long non-coding RNA (NBEN_LNC019238)". The record is from RNAcentral. Lineage: Eukaryota; Viridiplantae; Streptophyta; Magnoliopsida; Solanales; Solanaceae.
CCUUGCUCCUGGCUUAUAUUCACAUAGGCCACUCAUAAGAAUAAGACGUUCAACUCCCUAAAACACGUGUAAUUGAGAGAGUCAUCAUAUCAGUGCCUUGGGGAAAUGCCUACCUUCAGGAGAAGAUUACCGAAUGAGUUUCAAACCUGUCCUCUUCGCUUCCCAAGAUAUUUAGGGAAAGGGGCCUUGUCGGCCACCGCUUGCUGACGACGGAACGCAUCGUCAAUUAACGGGUCCUCGCCUUGGACUUAGUUGGAAAGGUAGGUGUUCGGCAUGUCCCUUGCUUGCGAACUUCUUUAGUAGGGCGGAGGUGCCAUUCCUCACGUUUACCGUUGUCCCCAGACUUCACCCACGUGUAAUUGAGAGAGUCAUCACAUCAGUGCCUUGGGGAAAUGCAUACCUUCAGGAGAAGAUUACUGAAUGAGUUUCAAACCUGUCCUCUUCGCUUCCCAAGAUAUUUAGGGAAAGGGGCCUUGUCGGCCACCGCUUGCUGACGACGGAACGCAUCGUCAAUUAACGGGUCCUCGCCUUGGACUUAGUUGGAAAGGUAGGUGUUCGGCAUGUCCCUUGCUUGCGAACUUCUUUAGUAGGGCGGAGGUGCCAUUCCUCACGUUUACCGUUGUCCCCAGACUUCACUCUUUCAACACUUGUAUACUUU